AUUGAAUGCUAGCGGGAUGCUUAACACAUGCAAGUCGAACGAGUGGCGGACGGGUGAGUAAUAUAUGGGAACGUGCCCAGUAGAGGGGGAUAACUACUGGAAACAGUGGCUAAUACCGCACACCAUUGGAGCGGCCGAUAUCGGAUUAGCUAGUUGGUGGGGUAAAGGCUCACCAAGGCAACGAUCCGUAGCUGGUUUGAGAGGAUGACCAGCCACACUGGAACUGAGACACGGCCCAGACUCCUACGGGAGGCAGCAGUGGGGAAUUUUGGACAAUGGGGGAAACCCUGAUCCAGCCAUCCCGCGUGUGUGAGAAGGCCUUCGGGUUGUAAAGUACUUUUAGCAGAGAAGCGGUAUCUGCAGAAUAAGCACCGGCUAACUACGUGCCAGCAGCCGCGGUAAUUC
RNAcentral lists this ribosomal RNA (405 nucleotides) under uncultured bacterium. RNAcentral describes it as "partial 16S ribosomal RNA". It matches the Rfam family "Bacterial small subunit ribosomal RNA", at positions 30 to 526 of the family's 1533-position model. The record is from RNAcentral.